RNAcentral lists this ribosomal RNA (468 nucleotides) under uncultured bacterium. Its description in RNAcentral is "partial 16S ribosomal RNA". It matches the Rfam family "Bacterial small subunit ribosomal RNA", at positions 28 to 507 of the family's 1533-position model. The record is from RNAcentral.
GACGAACGCUGGCGGCGUGCUUAACACAUGCAAGUCGAACGGAAAGGCCCUGCUUUUGUGGGGUGCUCGAGUGGCGAACGGGUGAGUAACACGUGAGUAACCUGCCCUUGACUUUGGGAUAACUUCAGGAAACUGGGGCUAAUACCGGAUAGGAGCUCCUGCUGCAUGGUGGGGGUUGGAAAGUUUCGGCGGUUGGGGAUGGACUCGCGGCUUAUCAGCUUGUUGGUGGGGUAGUGGCUUACCAAGGCUUUGACGGGUAGCCGGCCUGAGAGGGUGAACGGCCACAUGGGGACUGAGAUACGGCCCAGACGGGAACGGGAGGCAGCAGGGGGGAAUAUGGAACAAUGGGCGGAAGCGUGAUGCAGAAACGCCGCGUGCGGGAUGACGGCCUUCGGGGUGGAAACCGCUUUAGCCUGUGACGAAGCGUGAGUGACGGUAAUGGGUAAAGAAGCACCGGCUAACUACGUG